GCCUGGGUGGCUCAGUCGGUUGAGCAUCCGACUUCGGCUCAGGUCACGAUCUCGCGGUUCGUGGGUUCGAGCCCCGCGUCGGGCU
Molecule: transfer RNA, 85 nt
Filed under: Felis catus (domestic cat)
Lineage: Eukaryota; Metazoa; Chordata; Mammalia; Carnivora; Felidae
Rfam family: tRNA
About the family: Transfer RNA (tRNA) molecules are approximately 80 nucleotides in length. Their secondary structure includes four short double-helical elements and three loops (D, anti-codon, and T loops).
Source: Rfam by way of RNAcentral